GACGAACGCUGGCGGCGUGCUUAACACAUGCAAGUCGAACGGAAAGGCCCUGCUUUUGUGGGGUGCUCGAGUGGCGAACGGGUGAGUAACACGUGAGUAACCUGCCCUUGACUUUGGGAUAACUUCAGGAAACUGGGGCUAAUACCGGAUAGGAGCUCCUGCUGCAUGGUGGGGGUUGGAAAGUUUCGGCGGUUGGGGAUGGACUCGCGGCUUAUCAGCUUGUUGGUGGGGUAGUGGCUUACCAAGGCUUUGACGGGUAGCCGGCCUGAGAGGGUGACCGGCCACAUUGGGACUGAGAUACGGCCCAGACUCCUACGGGAGGCAGCAGUGGGGAAUAUUGCGCAAUGGGCGGAAGCCUGAUGCAGCAACGCCGCGUGCGGGAUGACGGCCUUCGAGUUGUAAACCGCUUUCGCCUGUGACGAAGCGUGAGUGACGGUAAUGGGUAAAGAAGCACCGGCUAACUACGUG
RNAcentral lists this ribosomal RNA (468 nucleotides) under uncultured bacterium. Its description in RNAcentral is "partial 16S ribosomal RNA". It matches the Rfam family "Bacterial small subunit ribosomal RNA", at positions 28 to 507 of the family's 1533-position model. The record is from RNAcentral.